GCAUAACGCCUCUAGGGUUCCGGCUUAUCAGCGUCAGGUCCGAGAGAGGCUCUCCCGUCUCAUGUGAGAGGCGGAGCCACGGCGGGAUAAAAGCCCGGGAGAC
RNAcentral lists this small RNA (103 nucleotides) under Methyloceanibacter marginalis. Its description in RNAcentral is "Guanidine-I sequence". It matches the Rfam family "Guanidine-I riboswitch aptamer". From Rfam's summary of the family: This family represents a conserved RNA structure found upstream of the ykkC and yxkD genes in Bacillus subtilis and related genes in other bacteria. The function of this family is unclear although it has been suggested that it may function to switch on efflux pumps and detoxification systems in response to harmful environmental molecules. Nelson showed that this riboswitch senses and responds to guanidine and it was renamed Guanidine-I riboswitch. Lineage: Bacteria; Pseudomonadati; Pseudomonadota; Alphaproteobacteria; Hyphomicrobiales; Hyphomicrobiaceae. The record is from Rfam by way of RNAcentral.